Molecule: ribosomal RNA, 240 nt
Filed under: uncultured bacterium
Lineage: Bacteria
Description: partial 16S ribosomal RNA
Rfam family: Bacterial small subunit ribosomal RNA
Source: RNAcentral
UACGUAGGGUGCGAGCGUUAAUCGGAAUUACUGGGCGUAAAGCGUGCGCAGGCGGUUUUGUAAGCCAGAUGUGAAAUCCCCGGGCUUAACCUGGGAAUGGCAUUUGGGACUGCAAGGCUGGAGUGCGGCAGAGGAGACUGGAAUUCCUGGUGUAGCAGUGAAAUGCGUAGAUAAUCAGGAGGAACACCGAUGGCGAAGGCAGGUCUCUGGGCUGACACUGACGCUCAUGCACGAAAGCGU